This 206-nucleotide microRNA precursor is filed under the name Oryza rufipogon (brownbeard rice). Its description in RNAcentral is "MIR812 microRNA precursor family". It matches the Rfam family "MIR812 microRNA precursor family". The record is from Rfam by way of RNAcentral. Lineage: Eukaryota; Viridiplantae; Streptophyta; Magnoliopsida; Poales; Poaceae.
AAAAAGACAAACCAUAAAUUUUCGUGUCCAAUAUUUGACUCUUCGUCUUAUAUUAAACUUUUUUAUAAUUAGUAUUUUCAUUGUUGUUAGAUGAUAAACAUGAUUAAUACUUUAUGCGUGACUUGUCUUUUUAAUUUUUUUUAUAAUUUUUUCAAAUAAGACGGACGGUCAAACGUUGGACACAGAAACCUAGGGUUUGUCUUGUU